Long non-coding RNA from Myxocyprinus asiaticus (Chinese sucker), 1787 nucleotides. RefSeq lists it as uncharacterized. The record is from RefSeq and is a predicted model, not a curated record. NCBI's taxonomy places the organism in Eukaryota, Metazoa, Chordata, Actinopteri, Cypriniformes, Catostomidae. The transcript has 2 exons.
CCUCAGGCAGAUAGAGAUGUCCGCUCUGACUGUGUUUCUGAAGGAGGUUCCUGGAUGGUUCCUUUGGGCUGGCAUUUUCAUACCUGUGACCAUACUGCUACUGCUCAUCAUCGCGCACCUCAGCUGGAAACUCCAAGAAAGUAAAUUCUUCAUCCAAUAAAUCAUCUACUAUACAUACCUGUGAUACUAGUUUUACUUGUAACAAGUGUGGGCGGAGAAAGAGCUUGCAAUGGCACCAGACCCUCAUCAAACAGUGUAUCGCCUCUGUUAUGGACCGUGCUACAGACCCAGACGCAGGGCAGAGGGCACACACACAUGACAGACACAAAGCACCUGUGCUGAGAGACAACAAUAAAGGAAGCAGAACACUUGAGCAACAAAAUUGUGCUAGAAAUCACAUCACUUGGAGCUCUGAAACAAGGAUCAGACAAAUGUGUGUGUGUGUGUUUUUUUUUUUUUUUUUAAAGCACGUAUUUUAAUGGUCCACACACAGUAGUGCCAGAACUUGUAACUGAGCAGUAGUGGACGUGGACAUUGAUUUCACAUUCUUUUUUAUGCAAAAGCUGCUUAAACUCUUCAAUGCAAAACUCAAAGUGUCCAUGAAUUUGCUCAACGAGUACAAUUUUGUAAUCUGUUUGGAUGUAUUUCCUGUUGAAACAGGAAGUUUGGGCAAUACAUAUCGAAGGGGUUGUCCCCAUUUUAUAAUUUGGCAAUAGGCUAAAAUUAUUUGCUACUUGCUAUUCCUUUGCAUGUAUUAGGGGGAGAGACAUUCUCAUUCUAUAGAGCAUUUGAUAGGACAUACAUUUUAAGAGAAAUAUGAAGAUAAAGACUGUCAAUGCUAAAUGCUUAUAUACAUUUUGUCAACUUUUAAGAGUACAUUGGCAUUUAGGAGGGUUCAAAGCUUGACAUGGACCAAAAGCCUCAAAACUCUCAUUUUGCUUUUUUGGGGGGUUUUAAGGUCUAGGUUUAUUUGUUAGGUUUAUAAAUAUUAAUUGAAUUUAUUAAACUGAAGUGCUGGUACCUACAGUAGGUAUAUGAUCUCGUUUUUGUAGAGAUAGGCUCAAAAUAUAUUUUCGCUUAUUUUUAGGAUUUACGCAUUUAAAUUUCUUAUACAUUUCCAUUAAAUUGAAUUGAGUAAUCUUUAAAAAAAAAAAAAAAAGCUUAUGUUUUUUUUUUAUUAUUAUUAAUAAUUUUAAGAUUAAUUAAUUUAGUUUGAUAAUUUGACAUGAAAUUAAAAUGUAUAAAUCUUAAAAAUAUUUCUCACUUUUGAUUAGUGACCAUCAACACAGAGUUAUCUGUGCUAUUCUUUAUUUUUGGAUUAGAUUAUUUUCUUAUCCAUACAUAUUUAUAACAAAUAUAUAUAUAUAUAUAUAUAUAUAUAUAUAUAUUACAUUUCAUUUUAACUUAAAUACUACGUUUUAUUAAUAUUGUUUCUUGCUGUUUUACUAUUGAUUAGGGUUAGGGUAAAUAGUCUUAUAUGAAGAAUAAUGUUUACGGUUCAUUACAUUAUGCAAGGUAUAAAUUCUCUUAACUGCUAGAGAAAAUAACUGAAUUGUCUCCACAAACUAGAGAUAAGGAUUGUCAAGGUCUUAAGCCAUUUUGUUUCUGGUCAGAUGAAGCCCCUAUAUCUGUCUCUUGGCUGGCAAGAGUUAACCCUCCUAUGCUAUUUGGUCAUUUUUGACCCAAAUACAUGUUCCCCAUUUCAUAAAAAUGCAGCACGAGACUUGGUGACUUUUCCUCCAUUUGCCAUAUGAACAUUAAAAAAAUAAAAUAAAAAUUGGGCUGGA